RNAcentral lists this ribosomal RNA (253 nucleotides) under uncultured bacterium. Its description in RNAcentral is "partial 16S ribosomal RNA". It matches the Rfam family "Bacterial small subunit ribosomal RNA", at positions 524 to 776 of the family's 1533-position model. The record is from RNAcentral.
UACGUAGGGGGCUAGCGUUGUCCGGAAUCAUUGGGCGUAAAGCGCGUGUAGGCGGUCCGGUAAGUCCGCUGUGAAAGUCGGGGGCUCAACCCUCGGAUGCCGGUGGAUACUGUCGGGCUUGAGUACGGAAGAGGUGAGUGGAAUUCCUGGUGUAGCGGUGAAAUGCGCAGAUAUCAGGAAGAACACCCGUGGCGAAGGCGGCUCUCUGGGACGGUACUGACGCUGAGACGCGAAAGCGUGGGGAGCGAACAGG